This 1444-nucleotide ribosomal RNA is filed under the name uncultured Bordetella sp. RNAcentral describes it as "partial 16S-23S ribosomal RNA intergenic spacer". It matches the Rfam family "Bacterial small subunit ribosomal RNA". The record is from RNAcentral. Lineage: Bacteria; Pseudomonadati; Pseudomonadota; Betaproteobacteria; Burkholderiales; Alcaligenaceae.
GUUCGAUUCUGGCUCAGAUUGAACGCUAUGGGAUGUUUACACGCCGCAAAGUCGAACGGCAGCACGACUUCGGUCUGGUGCUGAGUGGCGAACGGGUGAGUAAUGUACCGGAACGUGCCUAGUAUGUGGAUAAUCAGCGAAAGCGUAGCUAAUACCGCAUGGCCCUUCGGGGGAAAGCGGGGACCUUCGGGCCUCGCACUCACGAUGUCACGAUAUCGGAUUAGCUAGUUGGUGGGGUAACGGCUCACCAAGGCGACGAUCCGUAGCUGGUUUGAGAGGACGACCACCAUCAGACCAUACGCCCAGACUCUACGGAGGCAGCAGUGGGGAAUUCUGGACAAUGGGGGAAACCCCUGAUCCAGCCAUCCCGCGUGUGCGAUGAAGGCCUCGGGUUGUAAAAGCACUUUUUGGCAGGAAAGAAACGGCACGAUAUUACCCUCGUGCAACUGACGGUACCUGCAGAAUAAGCACCGGCUAACUACGUGCCAGCAGCCGCGGUACGUAGGGUGCAAGCGUUAAUCGGAAUUACAUUGGGCGUAAAGCGUGCGCAGCAGGCGGUUCGGAAAGAAAGAUGCGGAAACCAGCCAACUUUGGAACUGUACUUUUAACUACCGAGUUGUGAGUUGCCAAGAGAGGAAUCAGCGCAGAAACAGUGAAAUGCGUAGAUAUGCGGAGGAACACCGAUGGCGAAGGCAGCUCUGGGAUAACACCAUGAUUUGCGCACGAAAGCGUGGGAGCAAACAGGACGAUAUGUUCCGUAGUCCAAUGUCUGGAACGAUGUCAACUGGCUGUUGGGGCCUUCGGCCCAGAGCAGCUAUCGCGGUGAAGUUGACCGCCUGGGGAGUACGGUCGCAAGAUUAAACCCAGCAGUUCGACGGGGACCCGCACAAGCGGUGAUGAUGCGCGUGGAUGAAUCGACGCACCGAAAAACCUUACCUGUUCCCGACAUGUCUGGGAAUCCUGAAGAGAUUUGGGAGUGCUUGCAGGAGAACCGGAACACAGGUGCUGCACGGCUGUCGUCAGCUCGUGUCGUGAGAUGUUGGGUUAAGUCCCGCAACGAGCGCAACCGCGUUUAGGUUGCUACGAAAGGGCACUCUAACGAGACUGCCGGUGACAAACCGGAGGAAGGUGGGGAUGACGUCAAGUCCGGCGGUCUUUAUGGGUAGGGCUUCACACGUCAUACAAUGGUCGGGACAGAGGGUCACCAACCCGCGAGGGGGAGCCAAUCCCAGAAACCCGAUCGUAGUCCGGAUCGCAGUCUGCAACUCGACUGCGUGAAGUCGGAAUCGCUAGUAAUCGCGGAUCAGCAUGUCGCGGUGAAUACGUUCCCGGGUCUUGUACACACCGCCUGUCACACCAAGGAGUGUGGUUUUACCAGAAGUAGUUAGCCUAACCGUAAGAGACAACGGUAGGAUUCAUGACUGGGGUGAAGCGUAUCAGGGCA